GGGCUCCUCUGCUCCUCCUGCAAGGAAACACAGACACGGCCCUCACAGUGGAAAUGAUGCCCUCAGUUUCAGCUUGCUUAUUUUCUUAUUUUCUUUCUUAUUUCUUAUUCUUUUCUUUCUUAUUUUCCAGAUCCUGCGGUACAAAACUCUGAACUUCACAUCCAGUGUGAGCCAGUUCUCCCAGCUCAGUCACACCAAACAAUCCUUCUGCAGCCCCAGGACCAAGGGCACCGCUGCAGCCUCAGGCCCAAAAGUGCAAACAGCAGGAACUGAGGGGAGCAAACUGGGAGGAUGGGACUGCAUCCCCUGAAGUGUAACUGGACAGUGAACCCCAAAGUGUGGAUGGACCAAAAUUUAGAAAAGUGUGAAAACUCCUGACUCUGGGUCCAUCUUGGGUGGAGCCAUGGCCAGGCUCUUGCACUGCCCAAGAUCAGCUGGGCGUUAUCAGUGGGAGGAACAAUUAUUGUGUCAAGGUAAAUCGAAGGAGCAGAGAAGUGACAGCCCUAAAAAAGCCAUCCCUUCUGUGGAGUGGAAAUGCCAGGGCAGGAACCGCCGGAGAACACCGAGAACCUCCCCGUGUUUGGGCAGAAGGAAAAUCCCGGAUUCCCAGGAUUACUCACGUGCCAAGCACAGAGCUGCCAGCGCCAGGAGCGCCCAGAUUAUUUCCAGGGCACAAGGAGAGGAAUGAAGGAAGAGAGGCCCGCGGACUGACUGACACAUUAAUUAUGAUGUUCUUGGAUGGAUGGAGAAUGUCAAAAAGUGAUCUCCUGUGUGUGGAGCCACCAUAGUGAAUAUUUUGUGGUUUUUAUCGAAUCUAGACCGAGAUGGGAGCCUGACAAUUCCCGGAGGAGACAUUCACAGGCAAAUGGAUAACUGGGGGUCAAAGCCAUCCUUCUGCCCUAGAGAGCAGCCACCUGACAGGGGGGCAGUUCCAAGCUGAGCUUUGUUAUUUUCUGAAUAAACUCAGCCUGUGGCUUCCCCCUCUGGAUGCUCCCAGAUGCUGCUGCCACACCCUGGGCCCUGGCCUGGUCAUCCUGUGCAGCUUUACAGGCUGGGGAUUUGGUAUUAUUAAUUAGUAAUAAUUAAUUUGUCCUGCAGACAUUGAGACAGAAAUAGUGUCUGAUCCUUUGGCACAAAAGUGAAGAGUGACACAAACUAUUCUUUAAAGAUCACAAAUAAGCCAUAUUUUCUUGCUUUCAGUGUAUUUAUUAUUAACUCCUUUGUAAACAAGCACAUACGUUGCCUUUAUAGCUAAAAUAAGACAUGUAAACUUAAUAAAUAGUAUCAGGACCUGUAAAUGCAUUAUCAGCAGUUUUCUGAAAUAUCAGAUACUUCUUUUUAAAAAUUUAAACAUUUUCAAUGUUUAAAUAUUUUAAAUUAUCACCCAUCGCUAAGACUGGGGAAAAGGAAGCAUGGUUGCAAUGAGAGGCUUUAAUGUCAGUGAUUCUGUAUCAGGGGUUAAGGAUAUUGCAGAGAAUUUUGCCCUCCUGGAAGUCAGGAGUUCUGACAGGAUCCAUCCCUGGCAGUGCCCAAGGCCAGGCUGGAUGGAGCUCUGACCAUCCUGGGCCAGUGGGAGGUGUCCCUGCCCAUGGCAGGGGUGGCACAGAUGAGCUUUAAGGUCCUCCCAACCCAAACAAUUCCAGGAUUCCAUGAAAACACCAAGGUGUCAACCCAUGCUUCAUUUCCUCCCAGAGCUGGGCGCUCACUCUGUCAGCAGCUCAGGGGAGUUUUCCCUGAGAUUCUGUGGACACACAUUGCAAAGGGGGGAUG
This is a long non-coding RNA of Prinia subflava (tawny-flanked prinia), 1770 nucleotides long. RefSeq lists it as uncharacterized. Lineage: Eukaryota; Metazoa; Chordata; Aves; Passeriformes; Cisticolidae. The transcript has 4 exons. The record is from RefSeq and is a predicted model, not a curated record.